Molecule: long non-coding RNA, 589 nt
Organism: Parasteatoda tepidariorum (common house spider)
Lineage: Eukaryota; Metazoa; Arthropoda; Arachnida; Araneae; Theridiidae
Source: RefSeq, a predicted model, not a curated record
CGCAUGUGUGUGUAAAAUUACAGUUUUCGCUAUUAAAUGUGAUUGUCUAGUUAAUUGAGAUUUUGUCUUCAACUGCUUAGUAUCAAGCAAUUGGCGAAGAAGAAAGAGUCGACUAAAGAAAGAGAGCAUAUAAAAGAUAUUGGAAAUAUAUAUGCAUGAAAUGAUAAAGGCCAAGCAAGGUAACAAGAUUAAAGUGGGAUGUUUUCAACAUUUUUCACCAUCAAUAGGCAGUCCACCCAGCUUGAAGAGACGUCACUGAGCUGUGCACAGCAUUGUGAAGUUUGCACAUUAGUUUUUACACUCAUGCUUAGAUUAUCUUCUUUAGUCAUUUGCACUGCAAACGAGGAAGAAAAAUAUUGUUCUGACUUAAAAUGUAUUAAGUACAUUCAAAAUAUACUUUUGGUGGUUUUAAUCCAAUAUAGGUCAAUGGAAUAUUAGACAGUGGCAGUUUAAACCAGUUAUCCAACAGUAUUACACAGGCUAAAUACGGCUCCCGUAAUGAAAGUGUUAAGGAGAGCAAUCUCUUAGUUUGACUCUGCAUGUAAAAUUUUAUAUCUAAGCAUGUAUGAAUAAAUAUCCAUAAGGGAAA